UACGUAGGGUGCGAGCGUUAAUCGGAAUUACUGGGCGUAAAGGGUGCGCAGGCGGUUAUGUAAGUCAGAUGUGAAAUCCCCGGGCUUAACCUGGGAAUUGCGUUUGAAACUACAUGACUAGAGUGUGGCAGAGGGAAGUGGAAUUCCAUGUGUAGCAGUGAAAUGCGUAGAGAUAUGGAGGAACAUCGAUGGCGAAGGCAGCUUCCUGGGUCAACACUGACGCUCAUGCACGAAAGCGUGGGGAGCAAAC
RNAcentral lists this ribosomal RNA (250 nucleotides) under uncultured bacterium. RNAcentral's name for it is "partial 16S ribosomal RNA". It matches the Rfam family "Bacterial small subunit ribosomal RNA", at positions 524 to 773 of the family's 1533-position model. The record is from RNAcentral.